RNAcentral lists this ribosomal RNA (506 nucleotides) under uncultured bacterium. RNAcentral's name for it is "partial 16S ribosomal RNA". It matches the Rfam family "Bacterial small subunit ribosomal RNA", at positions 30 to 523 of the family's 1533-position model. The record is from RNAcentral.
AUUGAACGCUGGCGGCAGGCCUAACACAUGCAAGUCGAACGGUAACAGGAAACAGCUUGCUGUUUCGCUGACGAGUGGCGGACGGGUGAGUAAUGUCUGGGAAACUGCCUGAUGGAGGGGGAUAACUACUGGAAACGGUAGCUAAUACCGCAUAACGUCGCAAGACCAAAGAGGGGGACCUUCGGGCCUCUUGCCAUCGGACGUGCCCAGAUGGGAUUAGCUAGUAGGUGGGGUAACGGCUCACCUAGACGACGAUCCCUAGCUGGUCUGAGAGGAUGACCAGCCACACUGGAACUGAGACACGGUCCAGACUCCUACGGGAGGCAGCAGUGGGGAAUAUUGCACAAUGGGCGCAAGCCUGAUGCAGCCAUGCCGCGUGUAUGAAGAAGGCCUUCGGGUUGUAAAGUACUUUCAGCGGGGAGGAAGGGAGUAAAGUUAAUACCUUUGCUCAUUGACGUUACCCGCAGAAGAAGCACCGGCUAACUCCGUGCCAGCAGCCGCCGUAA